CCUACGGGUGACAGCAGUGAGGAAUAUUGGUCAAUGGACGAGAGUCUGAACCAGCCAAGUAGCGUGAAGGAUGACUGCCCUAUGGGUUGUAAACUUCUUUUAUAUGGGAAUAAAAUGUUCCACGUGUGGGAUUUUGUAUGUACCAUAUGAAUAAGGAUCGGCUAACUCCGUGCCAGCAGCCGCGGUAAUACGGAGGAUCCGAGCGUUAUCCGGAUUUAUUGGGUUUAAAGGGAGCGUAGGUGGAUUGUUAAGUCAGUUGUGAAAGUUUGCGGCUCAACCGUAAAAUUGCAGUUGAAACUGGCAGUCUUGAGUACAGUAGAGGUGAGCGGAAUUCGUGGUGUAGCGGUGAAAUGCUUAGAUAUCACGAAGAACUCCGAUUGCGAAGGCAGUUCACUGGACUGCAACUGACACUGAGGCUCGAAAGUGUGGAUAUCAAACAGGAUUAGAUACCCCUGUAGUC
Molecule: ribosomal RNA, 460 nt
Filed under: uncultured bacterium
Lineage: Bacteria
Description: partial 16S ribosomal RNA
Rfam family: Bacterial small subunit ribosomal RNA
Source: RNAcentral